GCAUGGGUUUGGAUUUAUGAUGGAUCCAUAAAUGAGGAUUCCCUGGGCCUCUCAUAGUACCCCAUGAGGCCGGAUUCCCUGGGCCUCUCAUAGUACCCCAUGCCAGAGCAAACUGUAGCCCUGAACCAUUGCCUGGCCUCUAUGCCCAUAGGCUGCUGGCACUGAAAUGGGUUGCACAGUA
This is a small nucleolar RNA of Piliocolobus tephrosceles (Ugandan red Colobus), 181 nucleotides long. RefSeq annotates it as small nucleolar RNA SNORA42/SNORA80 family. Lineage: Eukaryota; Metazoa; Chordata; Mammalia; Primates; Cercopithecidae. The transcript has a single exon. The record is from RefSeq and is a predicted model, not a curated record.